CUGCUGGCUGUAGCUAAGUGACACCUCACUCAGAUCUAUGGAAGGGGACUUCCAGAGAUGGAAAAGGAAGGAACUUUUCCUCACACAGGUCCAGAGGGCUUUUACUGUGAAGGGAAGAUGAACAGAAGGGGAGAAUUCACGCUGGAGCUCCUGGCCCCUGGUCUGGCUCCCUGGGCACUCAGACAGCACACCGAGGUUGACUGCCUUUCCUCAGACCCCAGGGCUUCCCAUCAUCUUCCACAGAACACCCUCAGACACUGGCCUGGAACGGCACCAGCCCAGAGGAGGACGCCAGUCAAUAAGCAGGAAAAACUCCCAAAUUGUAACUUAACAGAGUGGUCUUUUUUUUUUCUUUAAUUCCCAAAAUGUGUUUUCCCCAGUCCCCAAGCACAGACCUGUGGUUUUGUCUCCUUGGCUUUACAGUCUCUGCCUCGAGCCAAGAGACUUGGCUGAGCUUCCCCCUGAGUCAGACUCUCGGCUGGUAGCUGAACCCAGGAAGUUCUGGCCCCCACAUCUCUCCCUAGAACCACCAGCCCACACCGCCUCCUGCGCUCAGCCCUUUGGCUGGGUGUCCUGCCCGCUCUUUGUUGGGAAAGCGUGGUCUUAUGUAACUCCAGAACCUACUAAAUGCUCCAUUGUCUUCUGCUCGGGAGCGUUCAGAGCAACCUAUUUCUGACUUAGGACUUAUCACCGCGAUAGGAUCUCCCCGGCAUCUCCUCCUCAGCCCCUUGGACCUGGCCUCACCUGCCUCCAGCAGUCAACAGGCAGCCUUAAUGCUUGUGGUCUCGGGGAAUUACAGGUUCAGAACAAGGUACAGGGAAUACAAAGGCAGGUUCAUCUGCAGGUCAGGGUGGUUCGUUCGGUUCAGGCCACUCAGGAAAGCCAUUUGUAACUCAAGGCUGUGGCAGGCGUAAACAGUUCUGAUCUGAUUAUUCCUUUACUAAUCUGAUUUUGAUAAACAGCUGAUGAAAACGGGCGGUGUCUUGGCCCUCGAAGAAGAGAUACCCGGGCAAUACAAUCAGUGUCUAUUAUCUCACCGGGCAGGGAUUGAUUUUAAGACGCCUAUUAAUAGCUCAGCGUGGUAAGAACUGUGACCUCUGCCCUGGAUCUGAAAAGCCAGAAGAGGAAAGUGACAGCCGCCUAUUGGCAUGAUAAAGAGACUUAGGAUAGUGCCCACAGUCACCACUGUGCCAAGGAUGUUGACAAUGACGGUGAAGUUGGUGACGGUGCUGCCGAUAGUGACUGUGAUGACCAGUCAACUUGACCACAUCUGGAAUCAGCUAGAACACAAGCCACUGGGCACUCCUGUGAGGGGUUUUCUCAAUCAAAUUGUUUGAGAUUGAAGACCAGAAGCUGUCUAGGAAUUCUCCAGGCCUCCAACUCCAGACUUCUGAGGCAUCUAGUCUCAUGGACUGAGCAACUAUGGGGUUCUUAGCCUCCCUGGUAUGAGACAGACAUUGGUGGACUACGUGGACCAUAUUAUGUAAGCCACUCCAAUGAAUCUCCCAUGGGGAGGGUAUGUGUGUACUGUGUAUCUGUCUGUC
Non-coding RNA from Myodes glareolus (Bank vole), 1544 nucleotides. Lineage: Eukaryota; Metazoa; Chordata; Mammalia; Rodentia; Cricetidae. The record is from RefSeq and is a predicted model, not a curated record.